AGCAAAUCAAAUUCAUCAGAUUCUGAAUUUUAAAAGCUGCUGAAUUUCUUACUUUGAAUUUUUUUUGCAUCAAAAUUACGUAUGUGAAUUUUUUAUGCCUGAAUUUAGCUCAUCAAAAUUCUAAAAACCAGUUAAAAAUUCAAUGUCUUCAAAAUUCGCCAUCAAAAAAAUUCAAUGUUCAAAAUUCGCCAUCAAAAAAUUCAAUGUUCAAAAUUCGCCAUCAAAAAAUUCAAUGUUCAAAAUUCGCCAUCAAAAAAUUCAAUGUUCAAAAUUCGCUGUCAAAAAAUUCGCUGUUCACAUCUGGGGGACUCAGGCGUAAACAAUCGAUCCUGGCCAAAAUCGAACCAACGCCCAGCCAAUCACGUGGCGCUCCUCCGGUCAUGUGACGCAGACGGUUCCCCUCACAAGACCGGGGUCAACCACAGCUACCAGCAUGAAUGACGGCGCUUCAGACCUUUGCAGCGAGGACCCGAUGCCAGGUCCAGUGGACAGACUUCAGACGUCUCUGUGUGUCCCGUCCUGUCCGGUCCUGUCUCUGGUUGCCAGGUUACAGACGCUGCUGCACCCGCACGUUUAAAAAUGUCUACACCUGAAACUCCACCACGUCUAAAGAAGCAAAAACGUUUGCAAAUGUACAGACUGGAGUGGGAAGAGUGGAACCCCUGGCAAUGGAUACAAGGCAAACUGUGUUUAUGUUGCUCAUGGACUGGCUGAAGUAAGGCAGCAUCAGGAGACAAACGUGGAGGAAAUAUGAGAACAGAGAGAACCCAACCAGCAGGUCACAGUUUAUCAUCAUCUAAUCAUCUCCUGAAGUCCAUAUGGUCCCUCUCUAUCUCCCCACACAUCCACCAACCACUGGAACACAUCUCCAAAGUUCUGCUGGACCAGCUCAGCUUCCCCUCAGAAGAAGUGCUGCCACCUGCCAGAUGAAGGAGCCUUUUGAGAGGCAGCUGGGAUUGGACUGUAAAACUCCUUUAACUUAACAUCUGUAAACAGAACAAAAACGUAUCAACAAAGUUUUCUGUUAGAGUUUGUGUUCUUCUAAGUUUAACUCCAAGAUUUUAAAUAUUUUCAUUUACUGCAAAUGAAUAUCUACUCCAAAUGUCUCACUAAUAAUCAUUAUCAGCCUUAAAAACCCACAAAACACCCCUCUAUACUCCACCACACUUAGUACAGUCCGGUUCCCCCUUCUAUAAACCUGCUUGGAAUCUUCCACUUCCUGUUUGUCAAAGUGGCCUUCUACCUGGACAGGUUUUGUUGGAGCUCAUGCAACAAACAUUUUGGGUAACUGCACUUUAACAUGGAUGGAUGACACUGAAUUAGAGUCUGUUUUAAUGAGACUGAGUUAAGAUGUGUAGCUCUGUCAUUAAAUAGGAAAUUAUUUCUCAGAAUUCACAGAGAAAAGUCUGAAAUGUUUGCUAGGUUAGCGUCCCACAUGUUCUUUGGCUCAGCUAAAGCUAACUCUCUUCAACUUCUGGAUCUCUUGAGGUGCUUGUUGUUAAAAUAUCUUGCUAGAGAUGCUGAAGCUCAGAAAGUCUGAGAUGUUUGUUCAGAAUAAGCUCAUUCUCAAGUCUGAUCUGAACUGUCCUCUUCUGUUUGAACUUUCCCUAAACUUAGGAGUUAAUGACAGAGCAGCACAUCCAGACUCAGUCUCAUUUAUGUAGAGAUUAAACUUCAAUGUCAUUCAUUGAUGUUAAAGUGCAGUUUUUCAAAUGUUUGUUGCACAUGCUCCUGACCAAACCAGUCCAGGUGGAAGACGAUGUGAAGAGAAAGCUCCAGAGGAUGAAUAUCACACAUUUACAUUGGAAAUAAAUGUCCUUUAAUUAGACAUUGUCAUGUAAAAGUUGGAUUUCCCUUUAAUGAUGUACAAAUCUUUGUUGAGUGUUUUGUUGAUGUUGGUUUCUAAAUGUUUUCUGACACUCGGCCCCAAAGAUUAAAACCUUUUACGGCUCACAAGCUGCAACAAUUCACACAUUAUCAACUAUCUUUCUGACUAAACGAAGAUAAAAAGUGGAAAAACUGCCUGAUUCCUGCAUCAUGAAUGUAAAUCUUUUUGUUUUUUAUGACAGUAAACUGAAUAUAUUUGGGUUUGACAUUUUAUAAACCAAAACAAGAAAUGAAUUACUGGAGAAAACAAUCUACAGAUUAAUGGUCAAAGAAAAUGUGUUUUCCAACAUAUAUGGCUGAAUUACUCCAACAUUACAAGAUACAUACAAUUUAAAUUCAGUUUUAUUUAUAUAACGCCAAUUACAGGUCAAAUUGUCUCAAGAUGCUUUAUUUUUAUAUUUUCUGUCACAUUUAAAAUAUGACAGUAAGAAAUUUAAACCUCUUGACUAAUCCAAUUUAUUAUUUGGUUUUUAAGAGACUAAUCGACAAUUAAAAUAAUUUUCUCCACUAAAACUAAUAAACAUGAGGUCAAAUAGAAGGAACAGUUUUAAAUACUGCAGUCCCACAAUGACAAGAAUAAAGUUUCUCAACAAAAACUAAAUCUGCUGGUGGAUUCCAUUAAAGUCCUAAUAAAUGAUAAUAAAGUGUGAUACUAAAGGUUUGUGGUGCUAAAAAUGUCAAAGUAAAGAGAUGAAGUUGAACAUCUGGAUGGAGGUUGAUAAAAGUUGACGUCCCUUCAUUUCUCUGGAGCAACUCCAUGGAUUUUAUGGAUGGUGGUUAAAGACCUGCUCUUCUAGUCGUCUUCCUUCUAGUCGCUGUUAAAAGUCAGUCCAUCCUGGCCGACUUCAACACCUCUUCAUGACAACUUGUUCUGCCUCUGACCUGGUGGAAACUCCAGAAACUCAGGAAAACCUGUGGAGACUCGAAGAACUCGUGGA
This is a long non-coding RNA of Amphiprion ocellaris (clown anemonefish), 2825 nucleotides long. RefSeq lists it as uncharacterized. The record is from RefSeq and is a predicted model, not a curated record. Lineage: Eukaryota; Metazoa; Chordata; Actinopteri; Pomacentridae. The transcript is spliced from 3 exons.